Molecule: ribosomal RNA, 406 nt
Filed under: uncultured bacterium
Lineage: Bacteria
Description: partial 16S ribosomal RNA
Rfam family: Bacterial small subunit ribosomal RNA
Source: RNAcentral
AUUGAACGCUGGCGGCAGGCCUAACACAUGCAAGUCGAACGAGUGGCGGACGGGAGAGUAAUGCUUGGGAAUCUGGAUUAUGGAGGGGGAUAACGACGGGAAACUGUCGCUAAUACCGCGUACCAUAGGAUGAGCCAAAGUGGGAUUAGGUAGUUGGUGGGGUAAUUGCCUACCAAGCCGACGAUCUCUAGCUGGUCUGAGAGGAUGACCCGCCACACCGGGACUGUGACACGGCCCUUACUCCUACUUGAGGCAGCAGUGGGGAAUAUUGCGCAAUGUGGGCAACCCUGACGCCGCCAUGCCGCGUGAAUUAAGAAGGCCUUCGGGUUUUAAAGUUCUUUCGGUAUUGAGGCGUUAAAUACAGAAGAAGCACCGGCUAACUCCGUGCCAGCAGCCGCGGUAAUUC